RNAcentral lists this long non-coding RNA (412 nucleotides) under Nicotiana benthamiana. RNAcentral describes it as "long non-coding RNA (NBEN_LNC017393)". Lineage: Eukaryota; Viridiplantae; Streptophyta; Magnoliopsida; Solanales; Solanaceae. The record is from RNAcentral.
ACAGUAGAAACAUAUAGGAGUUACAGUAGAAAAAAUAUAGUAAGAUUAACAUAUAGGAAUCUCAGUAGAGAAAAUACAGUAAAAGAAACAUAUAGGAGUCAAAGUAGAGCAUUUAAAUGGUACAAUAUGAGUCCGUUGAGUCAGAGAUAGGCUCAUAGGCUCAGGACAUGCCAGAGUCGAGCCGUAGAUGGCCGUAAAACUCGAAUUGGCGGAGAUCUGAGCGAAGGACUUCAAGCUCAAACCUUGAAUCUUCAAUUAACAGGGGCAUGAGGGCACAUGGAGGUGAGUAUACACCACCCAUGGCUUGGGAUGCCAUUUAUUCCGGUGAGACAAGGUGAAACCGGCGGGAUGGGGAUAGGGUUUCGGAGAGGGUUAGAGAGGAAUUAGGAGACGUAGGGGUUUUAGGGAGGCU